Molecule: long non-coding RNA, 3875 nt
Organism: Tetranychus urticae (two-spotted spider mite)
Lineage: Eukaryota; Metazoa; Arthropoda; Arachnida; Trombidiformes; Tetranychidae
Source: RefSeq, a predicted model, not a curated record
AAAAAUUGUUGCUUUGAAAGGUUGAGUGAAACAUCAACAAACAUCAAACAUGUCUAUUAAUUGUGACAAUCGGUAAAGGAAUCAAAAAAAUGGUUUACUUGAGUAAACUUUAUUCAAAGCUCGGUUGGAGUUUAUCUCAUCAAUCAUGUGCGACUCUACAUGAGGUGACCAAUUGAUGGACACCAUUGAUUCCUGAUGAUCAGAUUAAUAAUCAAAAUUUGUUGUCGCUUGAAAAACAAAAUCAAACCUCGAACCUAAUUUGAAGCACAAAUUGCCAGUCAAUUUGUUGACUCUUGGUCAGCUUUCAUCAGCUAAUUUACUUCAUCAUUUUACCAGUUUUGAAUCAGCAAUUUAAUGCAACCAUUUUUAUCAAACCUGGCAAAUUGUGACUUCAUUUUAAUUAAUUUGCCAUUUUUUUCAUUCUUCACUUCAUUUUAAUAUCCAAAUUCAUUUGCUAACUUUAAUGGACAACUCAACCCUUUUGACUCUUUUUUUUAUCUUUUACAUUCCAUUCAACAUUAAUUGUAAAGUUCACCGUUUAAUUUGGUUGGUUAAUUUUAAAAGGCUAAAUCUGUUAACUGUUUUCAGCUUCACUUGAUCAAAGCUUGCAAUUUUGAGCUUGAAAAAUGAUUCGGAAAAUUUACAGUUAAUAUUUGACUUUCAAAUUUCGACUUAUUAAGAUUGGACUCGACUAUUGUUUGAUUGUUUCAUGUUUAAUUGCCUUUAAAAAUUGUUAAUCAUUUUAAUAGUGAAUUAACUUUUCCAUUAACAGUGCAGAGAAUGUUUAAUGUUUGUACCGUUAGAUGGCGGUUGUAACUUUUUGGGUUGAAUGGCGAUUUUGUUGCAAAAUUUUCUGAUGUUUAUUUGACCUUUUCUUUGUUAUCAAUGGGUUUAUAACCAGCUGGGGUUGCGUUUUGCUCUGUAAAUUGUACUGAUCUUGGUGUGAAUUUGAAUAAUUAUGUGAACGCUAUAUGGACGCUAUUUUUGCUACCUUUUAAACCAUGGGUUCAUUAAUGGCAUGGGUCAAGUUUAAUUAGCUGGACUCUUACCAUAGGUUCACCUCGAGUGGAAUAGUGAUUUGGUUUUGAUAAUUAUAUUUCAAACAAUCUGGUCUCAGUUGAAAUAAAAGUAACCUAAGGAUAAAGAAUUUUUGGACUCGUGAUGACCACCAAUUACAAAUCAAUCACCAAUCUUAAUCUUUCAAGGGAUCAUCUGUGAAUUAAUGAGGAAAAGGAGAAAAAAGAUGGCUUCUAAGGCUUAAUACUCAAUCAUUGAUACAUUAUCUUUCAUCGUUUAUUUUGAUGAAUCUUCUCUCUUUCCUUAACCUUACCUUUUCUUCCAAUUAUCGAUCGUAACUGUUUAUCAAUUAGCUAUAGUUGUUAGACUCUCUUUACUCUCAAUGAAGACACACUACAGCUUUUAUAUUGUAAAAGCAUUCAUUUUUACUUCUUAAGGUUAAUGUAAAAAUAAUAUCAACCUUGCCUUUCUGAUCACAUAUAUAUUAGUAAUAAUGGUUAACAUUAUUCAUAUAUAUAUAUGUAGAGAGGAUUGGGAGUGAUAUUAAAAUUCUGUGUGAAAGAACAGUAAAAACUAAUACAGAAAAUAGAGAAAGAAAGAGAAUCUUUUGGACCGUUGAAAGUAUCACAAAACCGGUAUAGACAGAGGAGACGAUAAAGACAGACCUUGAUAGAUACAGUCAGCCAUUUGAAUAGUAUAAAAAGCAGUACUUAUUUAUGUACAAUAUAAAUCCUCUUCGAGCUUUAGUCUUUUCACUUUAACUUUCCUUUGAUUGUAAGUUAAUUGCACAUUAUAAUGCAUUAAGUUUUCUCCCUCACUAUUUAAUUAUACUAAUAAUAAUCAACUUUCUCUUUCUCUCUUUCCCUGUCUGUCUAUUUUUUUAGGUGAACAUUAUUUCUACCUUUUUUUUUAUUAAUUUUUGCUUAAAGCUAUUCUCCUUACUCUCUUCUAAUUAAUCAUUUGUAGCGUUUUCAUUUUGUCUGAUUAAUCACGAAAAAAGGUUUUGCACUCAUCAAACAAUCUUGAGUAAACCCAAAAUUGUAAACCAAAUCAGCCAACAGUAGAUGAAAAUAGACACAAAUAGACAGCUAUAGAGUAAAAUAGACACACAGAGUGAAAAUGCGCUCAUGUUUUUUUGCGGACUGAUUGAUAUUAGAAUUGAAUUAUAAGAAUUGUUUGUGUUGACCAUUGAUUAUAAAAUGUCGUGAAUUGUAUUGAUUAAUUUGCAGACAAACAUGUUAACCAAAAGGUAGUCUUGUAUGUUCACAGAUACAGAUCAUUAUUGAAACUAAUGAUAUAAUGUUUCAGAUAAUUAGUUGCCUUCAUCUUUCAUCUGCAACCCAAAUAAUAGCUUAAAUAAUUUGAACAAUUGAAUAUAUAAGUUGAAAUACUUGUUGAUAUUUAAUUGUUGCAUUUUCAACAUUUUCAUUUCUCUCUAGUUUCAUUGGAAAUCCAAAAAUUGAAAGGUUCAAGCUGACAACGUGAGUAAAAGUGUAAUCACCGAUUCCAUAGAUUUUUUUUUGUAGGUUAACAACAAUUGUAAGGUUGCAAUUGAAACUCAUUACUAUGGAUACAAGAAUGAUAAGAAAGUUAAUCAUAAUACAAAAAAAAUUGGAGGCCAGUUUCAUAAUGAUAAUGAGCAAUAUUCCUAUGAGAAUCGAGUGAUCACAAAAGGGCCAAAUGUUGACUCAAAAUUAUGAUGUGAGAAAAAAAAAGUGAAUCAACUUUAUAAAUGAAAAUUUGCUGUCGAAAAGUGAAUGUUUUGAAAAUGAUCAAACCCAAAAGUCAAGUCAGUUGACAGAUGAAGUUUGAAUUGUAUCUGUAAAGGUAAAUGGUCUGAUACUCACGGUUGGACAAUUGCUCACUUGUGCGGCAAUUGCGUUAACUGUCUUUAGCUGGUCAGUACCACAAACUCUUGGCAUUCACCGCGUGCCUUAUGAUAAAUCAAAGCUCUACAUGAAGGCAAACAGUGAACACGGAGAGUAUCCAGGUCGAGUCGAGUCUUAAACUAACAAUCGACAGUUUUGUUUUUUUUAUAUCUUGCCUUUUGUUUCGCUGAAUAAUUUGGCUGCGCUUCCGAGCGCUAAAAGAGGCCAAAUGUGCGGAUAAAAGGUAAACAUAAGGGAUCAAGGGUAACAAUGAAGAGCAACAAAAGAUGAUAGAGAGGGAAGAUGAGAGAGUCUAGGGGAGAGAGAAGGAAAAGACGAAGGAAGACAGAAGGUACUAAGAAGAAACGGAAAGGGAACAAUACAAUUGGAUAAUAAUUACUGGAAAAGAGGAGGAAGAUGGCGAUCAUUUUGGAUGAAGAUCUGAUGAAAAGCGCAGUGGAGAAAAAAAGACCAAAAAAUAAGACGGAAAAGCGAAGGAUAAAAAAACGGAAAGACGAUCAAGAUGAAGACUUUGGUUUCUGGUACUUUUUUGGUUAACGCUUGGUCUUGAUGCUUGGAUGGUGGUAAGAUGUUGAGCGCCUGUUGGUUCAUGUCCAUAUCAAUAAGAUAACCACAACUCUUGGCAUUCACCGCGUGCCUUAUGAUAAUCAAAGGAAACAUCAAGACAUACACAGUGAACACGGAGAGUAUGGCAAUGACAAUAACAUGACAUUUGAAGUUUUUCAUAAGGCUUUCAACAGGGAGGAAAUCAUGUUUUUAUAUAUAGAGUGAAAUUUUAUUUGGAAAAAUUGAAAGUCACUUAACAAGAGGAAAAAAAAGACACUGGGAUCAAGGAAAACAACACUCGAGUCAACAUUAAAGUUCUGGUUAUUCACUGGUUAUAUCAAAUGAAUUGGCAAUAAAAACUCUAAAGAAGGAAAAGAAAGACGUAAAUUACAUUGAAUCAAAACUUGGAAUGAAAAUAUUGAA